GUUUGGCACCUCGAUGUCGGCUCAUCACAUCCUGGGGCUGUAGUAGGUCCCAAGGGUUGGGCUGUUCGCCCAUUAAAGUGGUACGCGAGCUGGGUUCAGAACGUCGUGAGACAGUUCGGUCCCUAUCCGUCGCAGGCGUAGGAAAUUUGAGAAGACCUGUCCUUAGUACGAGAGGACCGGGAUGGACGUACCUCUGGUGUACCAGUUGU
RNAcentral lists this ribosomal RNA (209 nucleotides) under Clostridioides difficile. Its description in RNAcentral is "partial 23S ribosomal RNA". It matches the Rfam family "Bacterial large subunit ribosomal RNA", at positions 2516 to 2724 of the family's 2925-position model. Lineage: Bacteria; Bacillati; Bacillota; Clostridia; Peptostreptococcales; Peptostreptococcaceae. The record is from RNAcentral.